Molecule: ribosomal RNA, 580 nt
Filed under: uncultured rumen bacterium
Lineage: Bacteria
Description: bacterial SSU rRNA
Rfam family: Bacterial small subunit ribosomal RNA
Source: RNAcentral
UGAUCCAGGGGUAAAAGGAGAAAUCCGGUGAGGGGUGAGUUCGCGUCCCAUUAGAUAGUUGGUGAGGUAACGGCCCACCAAGUCAACGAUGGGUAGCCGACCUGAGAGGGUGAUCGGCCACACUGGGACUGAGACACGGCCCAGACUCCUACGGGAGGCAGCAGUGGGGAAUAUUGGGCAAUGGGCGGAAGCCUGACCCAGCAACGCCGCGUGAAGGAAGAAGGUUUUCGGAUUGUAAACUUCUGUCCUAUGGGAAGAAGUAAGUGACGGUACCAUAGGAGGAAGCCCCGGCUAACUACGUGCCAGCAGCCGCGGUAAUACGUAGGGGGCAAGCGUUGUCCGGAAUGACUGGGCGUAAAGGGCGUGUAGGCGGCUAAAUAAGUCUGAUGUGAAAUCCCGGUUUUCAAGGUCGGGCUUGCAUUGGAAACUGUAUAGCUUGAGUGCGGAAGAGGUAAGUGGAAUUCCCAGUGUAGCGGUGAAAUGCGUAGAGAUUGGGAGGAACACCAGUGGCGAAGGCGACUUACUGGGCCGCAACUGACGCUGAGGCGCGAAAGCGUGGGGAGCAAACAGGAUUAGAUAC